CGCCUUCUUGAAUGUGUACGGGUUUCGAUGAGAUUGUUUUGAUAUAUUUUGAUAACAAAAUCGUGUGGAUAAAUUUUAAAGUUCAAAUUUAUAUCCAAAUUUCCAGUAUUGGUCUCAAUCCUAAAGUUGAUAUUCGAAGUUGAAUGAAAGUUAGACCAUUCAAGUUUCUUUAUUCUAGAAAUUUGUGAUGGAGAGUGUGAAUUAUUCGGUUGGAGUUCGCUCCAUAAUGUACAUAUGUUUCGGGCGAGCAAGCACGGCUCAACGGAUUUUUUCUUUUACCGGUGGUUGUACGUUUAAUUUUAUGUACAGAAUAAUCAGACUUCCUUUAUCUGAACUAUCUGAUAAAUAAGGAAAAAAAAACAUCUCCAACGAAAAAUGAAUUUGACUAUUGAGAAUCUGAAAAAUUUACCUAAUAUAAAAAUUAAAUGUUUAAUUUCAAUGCAUGUAAAUCAAUUAGAUGUUGUUUGGAAAACAAAAUAAACAAACCACGUUAAAUAAAUUGGA
Molecule: long non-coding RNA, 504 nt
Organism: Uranotaenia lowii
Lineage: Eukaryota; Metazoa; Arthropoda; Insecta; Diptera; Culicidae
Exons: 3
Source: RefSeq, a predicted model, not a curated record